GACGAACGCUGGCGGCGUGCCUAAUACAUGCAAGUGGGACGCAAGGGAACACACUGUGCUUGCACACCGUGUUUUCUUGAGUCGCGAACGGGUGAGUAACGCGUAGGUAACCUGCCUAUUAGCGGGGGAUAACUAUUGAAAACGAUAGCUAAUACCGCAUAAUAUUAAUUAUUGCAUGAUAAUUGAUUGAAAGAUGCAAGCGCAUCACUAGUAGAUGGACCUGCGUUGUAUUAGCUAGUUGGUAAGGUAAGAGCUUACCAAGGCGACGAUACAUAGCCGACCUGAGAGGGUGAUCGGCCACACUGGGACUGAGACACGGCCCAGACUCCUACGGGAGGCAGCAGUAGGGAAUCUUCGGCAAUGGACGAAAGUCUGACCGAGCAACGCCGCGUGAGUGAAGAAGGUUUUCGGAUCGUAAAGCUCUGUUGUAAGUCAAGAACGUGUGUGAG
RNAcentral lists this ribosomal RNA (449 nucleotides) under Streptococcus mutans. Its description in RNAcentral is "bacterial SSU rRNA". It matches the Rfam family "Bacterial small subunit ribosomal RNA", at positions 28 to 459 of the family's 1533-position model. Lineage: Bacteria; Bacillati; Bacillota; Bacilli; Lactobacillales; Streptococcaceae. The record is from RNAcentral.